This 58-nucleotide transfer RNA is filed under the name Diaphorina citri (Asian citrus psyllid). It matches the Rfam family "tRNA", at positions 8 to 63 of the family's 71-position model. From Rfam's summary of the family: Transfer RNA (tRNA) molecules are approximately 80 nucleotides in length. Their secondary structure includes four short double-helical elements and three loops (D, anti-codon, and T loops). The record is from Rfam by way of RNAcentral. Lineage: Eukaryota; Metazoa; Arthropoda; Insecta; Hemiptera; Psyllidae.
UAGCUUAAUUGGUAGAGCGUCUGCCUUGUAAGCGCUAGGCCGCGGGUUCGAUUCUCGC